CGGAUGAGGAAGCAGCGGCACGAGCGGCAGGAUAUGAGAAUGGAUAAUUCGUCAGAUGAAUUCCCACCAAGUGUUUUUGCGGCAAGAUCAGAAAAAUUGGAGUGGCUAAAGAAACGUCUUCAACAGAAGUACGGGGUCACCAAUAAAUCUGAACCGUGUUUUCCAGAAAACCCCACUCGUUCCACAUUAGAUAACAGUGUUGAGAGCAUUGAAAAUGAAGAGUCGGACAGUAGUAGAGUUGGAAAUAACCAAUGGUGCACGUGUACUAACUGUAAACCGAUGCC
This is a long non-coding RNA of Bufo bufo (common toad), 284 nucleotides long. RefSeq lists it as uncharacterized. The transcript has 3 exons. NCBI's taxonomy places the organism in Eukaryota, Metazoa, Chordata, Amphibia, Anura, Bufonidae. The record is from RefSeq and is a predicted model, not a curated record.